UGGGGAAUUUUGGACAAUGGGGCGCAAGCCUGAUCCAGCCAUGCCGCGUGCGGGAAGAAGGCCUUCGGGUUGUAACCGCUUUUGUCAGGGAAGAAAUCUUCUGAGUUAAUACCUCGGGAGGAUGACGGUACCUGAAGAAUAAGCACCGGCUAACUAGCGUGCCAGCAGCCGCGGUAAUGACGUAGGGUGCAAGCGUUAAUCGGAAUUACUGGGCGUAAAGCGUGCGCAGGCGGUUUUGUAAGACAGAGGUGAAAUCCCCGGGCUCAACCUGGGAACUGCCUUUGUGACUGCAAGGCUUGAGUGCGGCAGAGGGGGAUGGAAUUCCGCGUGUAGCAGUGAAAUGCGUAGAUAUGCGGAGGAACACCGAUGGCGAAGGCAAUCCCCUGGGCCUGCACUGACGCUCAUGCACGAAAGCGUGGGGAGCAAACAGGAUUAGAUACCCUGG
Molecule: ribosomal RNA, 445 nt
Filed under: uncultured bacterium
Lineage: Bacteria
Description: partial 16S ribosomal RNA
Rfam family: Bacterial small subunit ribosomal RNA
Source: RNAcentral